CCUACGGGGGGCUGCAGUGGGGAAUUUUACGCAAUGGGGGAAACCCUGACGUAGCGACACCGCGUGAGCGAUGAAGCCCCUUGGGGUGUAAAGCUCUGUCGGCUGGGACGAAAAAAAUGACGGUACCAGCAAAGGAAGCAUCGGCUAACUACGUGCCAGCAGCCGCGGUAAGACGUAGGAUGCAAGCGUUGUCCGGAUUCAUUGGGCGUAAAGCGUUCGUAGGUGGUUUAUUAAGUCUGAUGUUAAAGAUCGGGGCUCAACCUCGGGAGUGCAUUGGAUACUGGUAGACUUGAGUAUGGUAGAGGCGAGUGGAAUUCCCAGUGUAGCGGUGAAAUGCGUAGAUAUUGGGAAGAACACCGGUGGCGUAAGCGACUCGCUGGGCCAUAACUGACACUGAGGAACGAAAGCCAGGGGAGCAAAUGGGAUUAGAUACCCCUGUAGUC
RNAcentral lists this ribosomal RNA (443 nucleotides) under uncultured bacterium. Its description in RNAcentral is "bacterial SSU rRNA". It matches the Rfam family "Bacterial small subunit ribosomal RNA", at positions 338 to 795 of the family's 1533-position model. The record is from RNAcentral.